This is a non-coding RNA of Pelobates cultripes (western spadefoot toad), 324 nucleotides long. Lineage: Eukaryota; Metazoa; Chordata; Amphibia; Anura; Pelobatidae. The record is from the annotation of a GenBank genome assembly.
GGGAGAGGGCUUCCCGAAUGCUUGCGUUGUUCUGCUGUCUCUGGGACGCGUGUCAUCCCUAGGGUGAGCUGGGUUGGUGGAAGUACAUCUUGCACUUUCGUCCACGGUUGGCGUGCGACCCUUCUUGGCCUGAGACCGGAUGGACUUAGGCCUCUGGUUUUCCUUUAUGUUUCGCCCGGCGCCUCAGCACAGCGCGUUUUUCGUCAUUUUUUUGCUUCCUUGAGCUUCUGGCAAAGAUAUCUCCACUGAGACAGAGAGGGGUAUUUUUUUUUAUAUACACCCCUACAUACUUAUUAACCCUUAAUAGGGAACACAUGAAGCAAG